RNAcentral lists this ribosomal RNA (301 nucleotides) under uncultured bacterium. RNAcentral's name for it is "partial 16S ribosomal RNA". It matches the Rfam family "Bacterial small subunit ribosomal RNA", at positions 509 to 809 of the family's 1533-position model. The record is from RNAcentral.
CAGCCGCCGCGGUAAUACGUAGGGUGCGAGCGUUAAUCGGAAUUACUAGGCGUAAAGCGAGCGCAGACGGUUAUUUAAGCAGGAUGUGAAAUCCCCGGGCUUAACCUGGGAACUGCGUUCUGAACUGGAUAGCUAGAGUGUGUCAGAGGGGGGUAGAAUUCCACGCGUAGCAGUGAAAUGCGUAGAGAUGUGGAGGAAUACCGAUGGCGAAGGCAGCCCACUGGGAUAACACUGACGUUCAUGCUCGAAAGCGUGGGUAGCAAACAGGAUUAGAUACCCGCGUAGUCCCUGUCUCUUAUAA